Molecule: ribosomal RNA, 726 nt
Filed under: uncultured bacterium
Lineage: Bacteria
Description: bacterial SSU rRNA
Rfam family: Bacterial small subunit ribosomal RNA
Source: RNAcentral
UAACANGUGAGUGACCUGCCUUUUAGACUGGAACAACUUACCGAAAGGUGAGCUAAUGCCGGAUGAGUUAUAUAAGUGCAUGUUUAUAUAGGAAAAGUUGGGGAGACCUGACGCUGAAAGAUGGACUCGCGUCCCAUUAGCUAGUUGGUAGGGUAAUGGCCUACCAAGGCGACGAUGGGUAGCCGGCCUGAGAGGGUGGCCGGCCACACUGGGACUGAGACACGGCCCAGACUCCUACGGGAGGCAGCAGUGGGGAAUUUUGCGCAAUGCUCGUAAGAGUGACGCAGCGACGCCGCGUGAAUGACGAAGGCCUUCGGGUCGUAAAGUUCUUUCGACAGGGAAGAAAAUGCCUAUAAGUAACUGUGUAUGUAUUGACGGUACCUGUAUAAGCAGCCCCGGCUAACUCCGUGCCAGCAGCCGCGGUAAUACGGAGGGGGCGAGCGUUGUUCGGAGUGACUGGGCGUAAAGAGCACGUAGGCGGUGUUGUAAGUCAUUAGUCAAAGACUAGAGCUCAACUUUAGUAAGGCUAGUGAUACUAUAAUACUAGAGUAUCAGAGAGGAUUGCAGAAUUCCUGGUGUAGCGGUGAAAUGCGUAGAUAUCAGGAGGAAUACCGUUAGCGAAGGCGGCAAUCUGGCUGGAAACUGACGCUGAGGUGCGAAAGCGUGGGUAGCAAACAGGAUUAGAUACCCUGGUAGUCCACGCUGUAAACGAUGGAUGCUAGGUGU